Molecule: non-coding RNA, 138 nt
Organism: Pelobates cultripes (western spadefoot toad)
Lineage: Eukaryota; Metazoa; Chordata; Amphibia; Anura; Pelobatidae
Source: the annotation of a GenBank genome assembly
GAUAGUUUCUUAUCACUUUUUAUUGAUAACAGAAUUUUUCGAGAACCUCCCUUUCUCAAGUCUGAGAAAGUCUGAAGCAAAUGCUUCAGACUUGAGAAAGGGAGGUUCUCCCGAAAGCUUGUCAUUAAAAAAUUCUGU